Molecule: ribosomal RNA, 305 nt
Filed under: uncultured bacterium
Lineage: Bacteria
Description: bacterial SSU rRNA
Rfam family: Bacterial small subunit ribosomal RNA
Source: RNAcentral
GAUUCCUACGGGAGGCAGCAGUAGGGAAUAUUGGGCAAUGGAGGAAACUCUGACCCAGCAAUGCCGCGUGAAUGAAGAAGGUCUUCGGAUUGUAAAGUUCUUUAGUCAGGGAAGAAGUCAAUGACGGUACCUGAAGAAUAAGCUCCGGCUAACUACGUGCCAGCAGCCGCGGUAAUACGUAGGGAGCAAGCGUUGUUCGGAAUGACUGGGCGUAAAGGGUGCGUAGGCGGUUGUACAAGUUAGAAGUGAAAAACCCAGGGCUUAACUCGGGGGCUGCUUCUAAAACUGUAUGACUUGAUUGCAGG